RNAcentral lists this ribosomal RNA (620 nucleotides) under uncultured bacterium. Its description in RNAcentral is "bacterial SSU rRNA". It matches the Rfam family "Bacterial small subunit ribosomal RNA", at positions 440 to 1069 of the family's 1533-position model. The record is from RNAcentral.
UCGGGACGAAGCUUCGGUGACGGUACCGGCAGAAGAAGCACCGGCUAACUACGUGCCAGCAGCCGCGGUAAUACGUAGGGUGCGAGCGUUGUCCGGAAUUAUUGGGCGUAAAGAGCUCGUAGGCGGUUUGUUGCGUCUAUCGUGAAAACCUCAGGCUUAACUUGGGGCUUGCGGUGGAUACGGGCAGACUUGAGUUCGGUAGGGGAGACUGGAAUUCCUGGUGUAGCGGUGAAAUGCGCAGAUAUCAGGAGGAACACCGGUGGCGAAGGCGGGUCUCUGGGCCGAUACUGACGCUGAGGAGCGAAAGCGUGGGGAGCGAACAGGAUUAGAUACCCUGGUAGUCCACGCUGUAAACGUUGGGCGCUAGGUGUGGGGAGCAUUCCACGUUCUCCGUGCCGUAGCUAACGCAUUAAGCGCCCCGCCUGGGGAGUACGGCCGCAGGGCUAAAACUCAAAGGAAUUGACGGGGGCCCGCACAAGCGGUGGAGCAUGUGGUUCAAUUCGACGCAACGCGAAGAACCUUACCUGGGCUAGACAACGGCGGACCGUCCUAGAAAUAGGACUUUCCCUUCGGGGACUGCCGGUUCANGUGCUGCAUGGCUGUCGUCAGCUCGUGCCGUG